AACUUAUCGCUAUAUUCCAAUUAAUGUUGGAAAUAUUCAGCGGCUCGCGACGCCAUGUUUUAUUAACCUUUCAUAAUGUACGAGCUUUAUCUUGUUGUAUUAAAUCAGCUUUAAUGUGGAACGGUUUUGAGA
This is a non-coding RNA of Bombyx mori (domestic silkworm), 132 nucleotides long. NCBI's taxonomy places the organism in Eukaryota, Metazoa, Arthropoda, Insecta, Lepidoptera, Bombycidae. The record is from RefSeq and is marked provisional.